Long non-coding RNA from Cryptomeria japonica (Japanese cedar), 1185 nucleotides. RefSeq lists it as uncharacterized. The record is from RefSeq and is a predicted model, not a curated record. The transcript is spliced from 2 exons. NCBI's taxonomy places the organism in Eukaryota, Viridiplantae, Streptophyta, Pinopsida, Cupressales, Cupressaceae.
AAUGUAUAUAAUAGUGCUUAUUUCAUAUUUACGCUGCUAAUCUCCACACAAAACAACAUUAUGUACGGUUUUUAAAAUCUCCAAACCAAAAUGGAUUUUCCUGAAAUUUUGAGUAGCUAAAUCUUCAUGAUCUGCAUCUCCAGUAAAACCCCAAAAAAUCAGGAAAAAAAACACUGUAAAUUUUUUUACAAUACCAUUUUGUGUGAAGAUUAGCAGGUGGCAAUUAUAUAUAUGUUUUAAAAUAAAUGAUUCUCAACUUGAAUCAAUAGAAGGGAAGAUACGAAAACAUCUAGAUUAUUUAAAAAAUCAUGCUGUCUUUGUCAUGCCCUUCUGUAACGAGGGUUAUCUUCAUUGGAAUAUGAUCCAUGCCUUUGUCCUGAAAAACCUCCAGCAUAAGAUAAAAUGCCAAAGUAAAAGAAUUCUGAUUGCAGACUGCAGAGAAUAUGAAAAGAAUGGUUUCAUUGAAGCAAAGUGAUUCAAAUGAUUUUUUUUAUAGAGGUUAAUAUGAAUAAACUAAAUGGUAUCUAUUUUUUUCAGCUGGGCAUUUUUGUAGCUCGGUUGGGUAUUUAAAAGAGCUGAGUUGCAGAUCUUAUGUGAGAGGCAGCUGCAGUUAGAUAGAGUUACAUCUGUAGAUUGGACAGUGAACUCGAGAAAAGGAGAGGAGGUUCAAGGCACAGAGAAAGCAAGACAAAGGUGACUUUUAGGUACUGAUUCAUAGAAAAAAAAUAUUAAUAUUUGCUAAAAUUUUCAUAGGACUUUAGACAGGGUUAAAAAGGGGUUUGGGUGAUUCAUUACUAUGAAGUUCUUGUUCCAGUCACCCUGCUGCUCUUGCUUUUGUUUUAUGAGAGCCAAAAAGAAGAAGAAAUAAUAGCCAGCCCCCCCAAGCAAGAAUGCUACUGCACCUGCUCCUGAAGGCUAGGGAACAUUAAUAUCCUCAUAAUAUUUGAUGGAUUCCUAAUGGAAGUAGCAUAUUUAUGCUUUGUUGUUAGUGUUAGUUUUCAAUUUGGAGCAUAAAUAAAGAUUAAGGGAUUUUUUAGUAUGUUUUAAGCAUGUAGAAUGCUUCUCUACAAGAGCAAUUCAUGUAGAUGGAGCUAUGUUAUAAUAUAGUUUGAUUAUUCUUGUGGGCUGUAUUGUUUCUGGAUAUUGGGCUGCUAUGAAGAUAAAUGUUAAAGUUUCUUUAUUUUA